This 519-nucleotide long non-coding RNA is filed under the name Carassius auratus (goldfish). RNAcentral's name for it is "lncRNA (ENSCARG00000013001.1)". Lineage: Eukaryota; Metazoa; Chordata; Actinopteri; Cypriniformes; Cyprinidae. The record is from RNAcentral.
AUGGGACAGCGAAAUUCUCGUGUUAUUCCGGUAAAUGAUGGCGCGGUGUACGAUCACCAUCCCAGUACACCCCCAACACCCGACACCGACAAGGCGGAGCAACACUUCCAUCCGUGCGAUGAGCCGCCUGUCGAUGCCGGUGAGGGAGACGCCCAGAGGAGGGAGGAGGAGGAGCGGAGGGAGGCAUGGGGUGAGGAGGAGGAGGAGAUGAAGAAGAAGAGGAAAAAGAAGUUCUGGAGGCUGCCCUCUUUCCUCAAAGCUGCCAGAAAACACCUCAAGGUGAUCCGACCGAGUCAGACUGAGGUGCAGCUUAUUGAGCCACCAUCGCCAGCCAGCAGCGCUGAUGAUGAUAUUAUGUGCCGCUAUGAGCUCGGUGAUCGUCUGGGGGUAGGCGGGUUUGGUGUCGUUCAUGAAGCGAGUCGUGUGGAGGAUGGCCUUAAGCGCGUCACUGUGCGCGACCAUCACAGAAACCAUUGCCCAGCGCGAUUCCACCACGAUUCCUUAAUCCCUGUCCUUUAA